Molecule: ribosomal RNA, 433 nt
Filed under: uncultured bacterium
Lineage: Bacteria
Description: partial 16S ribosomal RNA
Rfam family: Bacterial small subunit ribosomal RNA
Source: RNAcentral
AACGAACGCUGGCGGCAGGCCUAACACAUGCAAGUCGAGCGAGGACUUCGGUCCUAGCGGCGGACGGGUGCGUAACGCGUGGGAACGUGCCCUUUGCUUCGGAAUAGCCCUGGGAAACUGGGAGUAAUACCGGAUGAGCCCUUUGGGGGAAAGAUUUAUCGGCGAAGGAUCGGCCCGCGUUGGAUUAGGUAGUUGGUGGGGUAAUGGCCUACCAAGCCGACGAUCCAUAGCUGGUCUGAGAGGAUGAUCAGCCACACUGGGACUGAGACACGGCCCAGACCCCUACGGGAGGCAGCAGUGGGGAAUCUUAGACAAUGGGGGAAACCCUGAUCUAGCCAUGCCGCGUGAGCGAUGAAGGCCUUAGGGUUGUAAAGCUCUUUCAGCUGGGAAGAUAAUGACGGUACCAGCAGAAGAAGCCCCGGCUAACUCCGUG